RNAcentral lists this transfer RNA (70 nucleotides) under Camelus bactrianus (Bactrian camel). It matches the Rfam family "tRNA". Rfam says of the family: Transfer RNA (tRNA) molecules are approximately 80 nucleotides in length. Their secondary structure includes four short double-helical elements and three loops (D, anti-codon, and T loops). Lineage: Eukaryota; Metazoa; Chordata; Mammalia; Artiodactyla; Camelidae. The record is from Rfam by way of RNAcentral. RNAcentral also lists the same sequence under 2 other names.
GGGUAUAGCUCAGUGGUAGAGCGCAUGCUUAACAUUCAUGAGGUCAUGGGUUCCAUCCCCAGUACCUCCA